Molecule: transfer RNA, 90 nt
Filed under: Elusimicrobia bacterium CG1_02_37_114
Lineage: Bacteria; Pseudomonadati; Elusimicrobiota
Also listed under: 2 other names
Description: tRNA-Ser
Rfam family: tRNA
About the family: Transfer RNA (tRNA) molecules are approximately 80 nucleotides in length. Their secondary structure includes four short double-helical elements and three loops (D, anti-codon, and T loops).
Source: RNAcentral
GGAGAGGUGGCCGAGCUGGCUGAAGGCAGACGCCUGCUAAGCGUUUAAACCGGGAAACCGGUUUCUCGGGUUCGAAUCCCGACCUCUCCG